GGGUUGUGAGGUUAAGCGACUAAGCGUACACGGUGGAUGCCCUGGCAGUCAGAGGCGAUGAAGGGCGUGCUAAUCUGCGAUAAGCGCCGGUAAGGUGAUAUGAACCGUUAUAACCGGCGAUACCCGAAUGGGGAAACCCAGUGUGACUCGUCACACUAUCAUUAACUGAAUCCAUAGGUUAAUGAGGCGAACCGGGGGAACUGAAACAUCUAAGUACCCCGAGGAAAAGAAAUCAACCGAGAUUCCCCCAGUAGCGGCGAGCGAACGGGGAGGAGCCCAGAGCCUGAAUCAGCAUGUGUGUUAGUGGAAGCGUCUGGAAAGGCGCGCGAUACAGGGUGACAGCCCCGUACACAAAAGCGCAUGUGCUGUGAGCUCGAUGAGUAGGGCGGGACACGUGGUAUCCUGUCUGAAUAUGGGGGGACCAUCCUCCAAGGCUAAAUACUCCUGACUGACCGAUAGUGAACCAGUACCGUGAGGGAAAGGCGAAAAGAACCCCGGCGAGGGGAGUGAAAAAGAACCUGAAACCGUGUACGUACAAGCAGUGGGAGG
This 549-nucleotide ribosomal RNA is filed under the name Salmonella enterica subsp. enterica serovar Infantis. RNAcentral describes it as "partial 23S ribosomal RNA". It matches the Rfam family "Bacterial large subunit ribosomal RNA", at positions 1 to 580 of the family's 2925-position model. Lineage: Bacteria; Pseudomonadati; Pseudomonadota; Gammaproteobacteria; Enterobacterales; Enterobacteriaceae. The record is from RNAcentral. RNAcentral also lists the same sequence under 1 other name.